Molecule: ribosomal RNA, 429 nt
Filed under: uncultured Thermosinus sp.
Lineage: Bacteria; Bacillati; Bacillota; Negativicutes; Selenomonadales; Sporomusaceae
Description: bacterial SSU rRNA
Rfam family: Bacterial small subunit ribosomal RNA
Source: RNAcentral
CGCAACGCGAAGAACCUUACACGGGUUUGACAUCCACUGAAUGCCUUAAGAGAUUAGGUCGGCCCCUUCGGGGGACAGUGAGACAGGUGGUGCAUGGCUGUCGUCAGCUCGUGUCGUGAGAUGUUGGGUUAAGUCCCGCAACGAGCGCAACCCUUAUCCUGUGUUACCAGCGUGAAAGACGGGGACUCACAGGAGACUGCCGCCGACAAGGCGGAGGAAGGCGGGGAUGACGUCAAGUCAUCAUGCCCCUUAUGUCCUGGGCUACACACGUACUACAAUGGGUGCGAACAGAGGGCAGCAAUCCCGCGAGGGGGAGCCAAUCCCACAAAAGCACUCUCAGUUCGGAUCGCAGGCUGCAACCCGCCUGCGUGAAGUCGGAAUCGCUAGUAAUCGCAGAUCAGCAGGCUCGCGUCGAUACGUUCCGGCCUU